GGGGUAGAAGGAGCUUGCUCCUUUGAGACCGGCGCACGGGUGCGUAACGCGUAUGCAAUCUACCUUGUACAGGGGGAUAGCCCAGAGAAAUUUGGAUUAAUACCCCAUAGUAUUUUCAGAUGGCCUCAUUUGAUUAUUAAAGUUCCAACGGUACAAGAUGAGCAUGCGUCCCAUUAGCUAGUUGGUGUGGUAACGGCAUACCAAGGCAACGAUGGGUAGGGGUCCUGAGAGGGAGAUCCCCCACACUGGUACUGAGACACGGACCAGACUCCUACGGGAGGCAGCAGUGAGGAAUAUUGGUCAAUGGGCGCAAGCCUGAACCAGCCAUGCCGCGUGCAGGAUGACGGUCCUAUGGAUUGUAAACUGCUUUUGUACAGGAAGAAACCCUCCCUUGUAAGGGAGCUUGACGGUACUGUAAGAAUAAGGAUCGGCUAACUCCGUGCCAGCAGCCGCGGUAAUACGGAGGAUCCAAGCGUUAUCCGGAAUCAUUGGGUUUAAAGGGUCCGUAGGCGGUUUUAUAAGUCAGUGGUGAAAUCUGGUCGCUCAACGAUCAAACGGCCAUUGAUACUGUAAGACUUGAAUUACUUGGAAGUAACUAGAAUAUGUAGUGUAGCGGUGAAAUGCUUAGAGAUUACAUGGAAUACCGAUUGCGAAGGCAGGUUACUACGAGUAUAUUGACGCUGAUGG
This 687-nucleotide ribosomal RNA is filed under the name Flavobacterium columnare. RNAcentral describes it as "bacterial SSU rRNA". It matches the Rfam family "Bacterial small subunit ribosomal RNA", at positions 66 to 752 of the family's 1533-position model. Lineage: Bacteria; Pseudomonadati; Bacteroidota; Flavobacteriia; Flavobacteriales; Flavobacteriaceae. The record is from RNAcentral.